CACGUAGGGCGCAAGCGUUGUCCGGAAUUAUUGGGCGUAAAGAGCUCGUAGGUGGUCUGUUGCGUCCGCUGUGAAAGUUCGGGGCUCAACCCUGAAUCGGCCGUCGAUACUCCUGGGCUCGAGCACUGUAGAGGCAGAUGGAAUUCCGGGUGUAGCGGUGGAAUGCGUAGAGAUCCGGAAGAACACCGGUGGCGAAGGCGGUCUGCUGGGCAGUUGCUGACACUGAGGCGCGACAGCGUGGGGAGCAAACAGG
RNAcentral lists this ribosomal RNA (253 nucleotides) under uncultured bacterium. RNAcentral describes it as "partial 16S ribosomal RNA". It matches the Rfam family "Bacterial small subunit ribosomal RNA", at positions 524 to 776 of the family's 1533-position model. The record is from RNAcentral.